RNAcentral lists this ribosomal RNA (467 nucleotides) under uncultured Gammaproteobacteria bacterium. Its description in RNAcentral is "bacterial SSU rRNA". It matches the Rfam family "Bacterial small subunit ribosomal RNA", at positions 919 to 1382 of the family's 1533-position model. The record is from RNAcentral. Lineage: Bacteria; Pseudomonadati; Pseudomonadota; Gammaproteobacteria.
CCCGGCACAAGCGGUGGAGCAUGUGGUUUAAUUCGACGCAACGCGCAGAACCUUUACCUGGGCUUUGACAUCCUCGGAACUUGUCAGAGAUGACUUGGUGCCUUCGGGAACCGAGAGACAGGUGCUGCAUGGCUGUCGUCAGCUCGUGUCGUGAGAUGUUGGGUUAAGUCCCGUAACGAGCGCAACCCUUGUCCAUAGUUGCCAGCACGUAAAGGUGGGAACUCUAUGGAGACUGCCGGUGACAAACCGGAGGAAGGUGGGGAUGACGUCAAAUCAUCAUGCCCCUUAUGUCUUGGGCUUCACGCAUGCUACAAUGGCCAGUACAAAGGGCUGCGAGACCGUGAGGUGGAGCGAAUCCCAAAAAGCUGGUCUCAGUUCGGAUUGGGGUCUGCAACUCGACCCCAUGAAGUCGGAGUCGCUAGUAAUCGCAGAUCAGCAACGCUGCGGUGAAUACGUUCCCGGGGCUU